Non-coding RNA from Vicia faba (fava bean), 261 nucleotides. The record is from the annotation of a GenBank genome assembly. NCBI's taxonomy places the organism in Eukaryota, Viridiplantae, Streptophyta, Magnoliopsida, Fabales, Fabaceae.
AUGGCUCGGACAGUAGCAGACGGAGGGAAUACGAGAGAUGGAGGCAGGAUGUGCGGACGACGGAGUGGCUCAGGAGAUGGUGAUGAAUGUUCUGCAGUUGAGCGGAAAUUGGCUACCGCGGAGGGAGUUCGGAGAGGAGUAGAUUGGUGUUCGGUGAGAGCUUCCACGGUGGUGGGUUUUCGGAUGGGAGGGAGUAUUAUAGGUACAGGUGACGAGAGCGGAAGAGGUUACAGAGUGAAGGUGAUGAUGGUUGGCAGUUGA